UUGCUGUGAUGUAUGAAUUUCUUCACCUGAAUCAAGUGAAGAGCAAAACGAGCUUUUUAACACUGAGCAAU
RNAcentral lists this small nucleolar RNA (71 nucleotides) under Eurypyga helias (sunbittern). Lineage: Eukaryota; Metazoa; Chordata; Aves; Eurypygiformes; Eurypygidae. The record is from RNAcentral.